RNAcentral lists this ribosomal RNA (497 nucleotides) under uncultured bacterium. RNAcentral describes it as "partial 16S ribosomal RNA". It matches the Rfam family "Bacterial small subunit ribosomal RNA", at positions 28 to 507 of the family's 1533-position model. The record is from RNAcentral.
GGUGAACGCUGGCGGCGUGCCUAAUACAUGCAAGUCGAGCGAACAGACGAGGAGCUUGCUCCUCUGACGUUAGCGGCGGACGGGUGAGUAACACGUGGAUAACCUACCUAUAAGACUGGGAUAACUUCGGGAAACCGGAGCUAAUACCGGAUAAUAUAUUGAACCGCAUGGUUCAAUAGUGAAAGACGGUUUUGCUGUCACUUAUAGAUGGAUCCGCGCCGCAUUAGCUAGUUGGUAAGGUAACAGCUUACCAAGGCAACGAUGCGUAGCCGACCUGAGAGGGUGAUCGGCCACACUGGAACUGAGACACGGUCCAGACUCCUACGGGAGGCAGCAGUAGGGAAUCUUCCGCAAUGGGCGAAAGCCUGACGGAGCAACGCCGCGUGAGUGAUGAAGGUCUUCGGAUCGUAAAACUCUGUUAUUAGGGAAGAACAAAUGUGUAAGUAACUAUGCACGUCUUGACGGUACCUAAUCAGAAAGCCACGGCUAACUACGUG